CGAACUGCGAUAAGUAGUGUGAAUUGCAGAAUUCAGUGAAUCAUCGAAUCUUUGAACGCACAUUGCGCCCCUUGGUAUUCCAUGGGGCAUGCCUGUUCGAGCGUCAUUUGUACCCUCAAGCUCUGCUUGGUGUUGGGUGUUUGUCCCGUCUCCGCGCGUGGACUCGCCCCAAAGUGAUUGGCAGCCGGCGUACUGGUCCCGGAGCGCAGCACAUGUCGCGCAAACGAGUGCCUUGGUACGGCGGCGUCCAUAAGCCCCUCUCUCACGCUCUUGACCUCGGAUCAGGUAGGGAUACCCGCUGAACUUAAGC
RNAcentral lists this unclassified non-coding RNA (310 nucleotides) under plant metagenome. RNAcentral describes it as "partial contains 5.8S ribosomal RNA, internal transcribed spacer 2, and large subunit ribosomal RNA". The stretch from base 1 to 106 matches the Rfam family "5.8S ribosomal RNA", at positions 49 to 154 of the family's 154-position model. The record is from RNAcentral.